GAAAAAAAAAAAAUGAUGUGCAAAGAUGCCAUUACCUCAGAAAAAUGGCAAUGGGGAUAAAAUGAAAUUGUACUUGGGUGCUUCAGAGAACCACUUCAAUGAGUUUUCUCAAACUCGAAACUCAUACCUAUGUUGCCCUAGGCAAUGUCCUCGCUCUUAUUGGUGAUGUCUUGUCUAUAGUUACUAUGCCUAAUUACUCAUCUAACUUGUCCAUACAUCACAUGAGUAAAACAUAAUUGGAAGAGAUUUCACAUCCAAAUAGCAUGAAGAAGUACAACAUAAUGUGACUAAAAAGACAAGCAGGCAAGUUACUAUUAUUGGCACAGCUCAAUCUUAGUUCUUAGAUCACCAUAAAACAUAUUAGCAUCUGAGGAAGAAUGACCAGGGUUUGAAAAAAGUAGGAACAAUUCAACAGAGGAUACAUA
This 425-nucleotide unclassified non-coding RNA is filed under the name Hevea brasiliensis (rubber tree). The record is from RNAcentral. Lineage: Eukaryota; Viridiplantae; Streptophyta; Magnoliopsida; Malpighiales; Euphorbiaceae.